AAGGAUAUCUUUUAAGAGUAUUUUAUAUAUUAUUAACUAUAUAUAUAUAUAUAUAUAUGCUAGUAAUAAAUUGCUGUCUUUUAUGCAAGUGCGACUUCUAGCUGCUCCAAUUGUGCACAAAAUUCAUGCCACUAGGAUUACAGCCAGUGUAUACUCUUAACAUCUUCAGUUGCAGGACUGUGCUCUUAGUUAACUGUACACCAAGUUCUAGUUCGCCGAGCACAUGACGCAAUAUGGUAUAUCACCAGUGAUGCUGAAUCUAGUUUAUAAUCUCUGAUGAUUUAUUCAAGUAUAUGUAUGGUCAAGAGUACAUUGGUCUUAGCUUGAACAGAACAAUCAUAUGGGAAUCUAUUGGUUUAAGUGAGCACCAUGUAUGGCAUUCUUAUAGCUAUAUUGUUUCAUCUCUACUGAUAAUGUUACGCCUGAAAUGUAAAAGGAUGAUGCUGAUGAUGGCAUCGAGUGUGCUGGAUUUUAACAUAACCUCUACUGAUAGUAACACGGUCAGUAUAACACAAAACAGGGGAUGCUCUGUUUUUGCAGAACUUGCUCGAAAUACAUAUAAUAUCAUGAUGCAAACUUUCCAGUUAUGUAUUUUACAGUUUGAGUGUAUUUUUUCUUCGUUAUGCUAAAUCACUGACAUUUGGUGGUAAGUAGUACUGUGGUAUCUUUAAGAAAUGAUUUACGCCUACCCAUGUGGUAUUCUGUUUUUCAUAUGACCUAAGAUUGCUGCAGGAAGAUAGGUGGUAGACGGAGUAAGUUGCAGUGUAUGGAUGAAGGCUUGUAGUUCCUGGUCUGGUUCAGCACCUUCUUGAGAAAAAUUUCUUGAAGAAGUCUUUUUGCUAUUUGAAUUAGACGAUGAAAGAACUAUAGAAUUUUCACAUUCUCUUCCAGAACUCAUUUGGUAACCAUGUAUAAAUUUACAUGUAGCCAUUACAACUUCAUACCAUGUUUGACUUAUCAAUGUAUUAGUUGUUGAAACUGUACAUCUGCAUAUACAUUAAUGAACAUAGUGGAAUAGUGCAUGGCAAUAGUUGUCAUGUUUUCUACACUACGAUGAAUUCCUUAUGAAACUGUACAGCCUUAAUUGCUUUAAGGUUAGGGUCUAAUCUUCUAUUGUUCCUAUAUGGCAGACCGAGACUGGUUUACAUUGUGACAUGGACGAGAGCUCUCAUCCAUGUUUGCCAGUUCUGAGCAACCUAUCUUUAACAUAUAGAUUAAAUUCCCUGCAAAAUUAAACCUCUAACAAUGUCUAAUGGAACUUUUAUGGUUUUGGUUUUGGACUGGUCAAUUCUGAUUUGCAGUAAUGAGUUGUGAAUAUCCCAUCCACUCAGAGACUUGACGAUGCUCGGUCUAAAUUUAGAACCAAUUUAAUGAAGCCCCAUUUGACAUGUAGUUAAACUAGUUGUGUAUGUCUACCUCUGAAUUGAUUUGAAACCCUUGUUCCUGUCUUAAUUAAAGAAAAACAAUUUUUUGAACAAGGAAAUAUUGUGAAAUAAGAACAAUGUAAAUGGGAGGCGGUUGUGCUCUAAAUGGGUGCUGUUGGUAAUCUAGAGUUGGUCUAGAUUUUAAGCCACUCAUCCUCCAUGAAACACUUUAAAUUGGAGAAGAAACUUUUAAGAGGAUCAAAUAUUAUUUGUCAUAGAAUCCUGUCACAUCCCAUGUCAGUCACGUUUGCGCUAAGCAUUGCGUGGAUUAAAAAAUUAAAAUAAAAUGUCAUUCAAGUGAAGAUGGGCACGAUGACCUGCAAUCGCAUUAAAAGGGAUGGUGCGGGAGGAAAGAGGGGCUGCCGUGCCAUUGGGAAGGCAUGCCAUCCCUCUUCCUUGGUUGUUCAAUCUUCACGCUUGUAUUGCGUUGUGUGGAAAAGAGAGGUAGAACAACCUAGAGAGAAUGGAGGAAUUCCAUUAGAGACGUUUGGGGAAGAAGAUGAGAGGGAAGUAGCAGCCAGGGAUAAUUGCCGGAGAAUUAGAAACGGCGAGGAGUUGAAGCAACUGCCCUGGCAGACAGGUAUGCGAAAUGUGGGAGCAUGGACAGGCACAAAAACAAUGUUGAAAAAUUUCUUCAAAGAAAUGUGGUCCCAUGGGAUUUCAGUGGUUGCAGGGUAUUCUCCAAACGGAUUCGUUUUAAAGGCUUUAGGAACUUUCGAGCAAAUGCGAGUGGUAGGUGUAAAGCCAGAUUCUACAACCUUUGCAAUUGUUCUCCCUGCCUGUGCCAAAAUAAAAGCUUUCGAAUAGGCCAUGGAACUCCCUCAACAGGCAUCAAAUGACGACCCCCAAAGCCGGAGGAUCAACUACUUGGCAGACUCUCAUCAAACAAGAUCAAGCUAGGACAAGGACGAUCUCCUCCAGUCCAGCAUCAUUAAGGACGACCUUCUCCAUCUAUCUUCCAGUCCAACAUUUGAAGGAAAGCAUCACCAAAUUGAGCAUCAACCAAGUGUUAGACAAGGUGGCAUCCUAGUCAUCACUCCUCCAAUCGGGUUGGUCCACCUCAGCAUGUUCAGAUUCAAUGUACCUGACUCAUUAAAGAUGGCACAAACUUCGAUGGACCUACCCCGGCUAUCCAUUGGUCGAAUAUUCCAGAGAAUACAUGUGUCCAAAUAAUGCAAUUAUUUCAUUGGUCAAAAUUAAGUUUGUUGUAACAAACCCUAAUUAGGGUUUCAUUGUAAAAUCUUGGCCAUUGAUCUCGAAUUGAUCCAAGCCAUUCAUUGUAUUUGAGGAUGCUAUAUAUGCCCUCACUCAUUUCAUUUUCAAGGGUUAGAGAGAGAGUUUAGAGUGAAGAAAGUUAGAAAAUUAGAGAGAAAUAAGUUAUUGUUGUAGCAAAAUUGAGUAGUGAAGAGAGAAAUUUGAACAAUUGUUGUCCAUUUGGUUAUGAGAUCAAUA
Cryptomeria japonica (Japanese cedar) is the source of this 2876-nucleotide RNA transcript. RefSeq lists it as uncharacterized. The record is from RefSeq and is a predicted model, not a curated record. NCBI's taxonomy places the organism in Eukaryota, Viridiplantae, Streptophyta, Pinopsida, Cupressales, Cupressaceae. The transcript is spliced from 3 exons.